GCAGUGGGGAAUAUUGGACAAUGGGGGGAACCCUGAUCCAGCCAUGCCGCGUGUGUGAAGAAGGCCUUAUGGUUGUAAAGCACUUUAAGCGAGGAGGAGGCUCUCUUGGUUAAUACCCAAGAUGAGUGGACGUUACUCGCAGAAUAAGCACCGGCUAACUCUGUGCCAGCAGCCGCGGUAAUAAUCUAGA
Molecule: ribosomal RNA, 190 nt
Filed under: uncultured Acinetobacter sp.
Lineage: Bacteria; Pseudomonadati; Pseudomonadota; Gammaproteobacteria; Moraxellales; Moraxellaceae
Description: partial 16S ribosomal RNA
Rfam family: Bacterial small subunit ribosomal RNA
Source: RNAcentral